RNAcentral lists this ribosomal RNA (2881 nucleotides) under Paracoccus gahaiensis. RNAcentral describes it as "23S ribosomal RNA". It matches the Rfam family "Bacterial large subunit ribosomal RNA". The record is from RNAcentral. Lineage: Bacteria; Pseudomonadati; Pseudomonadota; Alphaproteobacteria; Rhodobacterales; Paracoccaceae.
GAUCAAAUCAAGCGCGAUAAGGGCGUUUGGUGGAUGCCUUGGCAGUAAGAGGCGAUGAAGGACGUGAUACUCUGCGAUAAGCCAUGGGGAGCUGAGAAUAAGCUUUGAUCCAUGGAUUUCCGAAUGGGGAAACCCACCUGAUACUUUGUUGUUGUUGUCCUUCGGGGCAAUCAACAAUGGGGUUAACCAGGUAUCUUUUACCUGAAUACAUAGGGUUUAAGAAGCGAACCCGGGGAACUGAAACAUCUAAGUACCCGGAGGAAAGGACAUCAAUAGAGACUCCGCUAGUAGUGGCGAGCGAACGCGGAUCAGCCGAGCCUUGAGAGUGACCAGAACAUGUUGGAAAGCAUGGCCAUAGCGGGUGACAGCCCCGUAUGGGAAGCUCGAUGGGACGUAUCAAGUAGGGCGGGACACGUGAAAUCCUGUCUGAAGAUCGGGGGACCACCCUCGAAGGCUAAGUACUCCUUACUGACCGAUAGCGAACCAGUACCGUGAGGGAAAGGUGAAAAGCACCCCGACGAGGGGAGUGAAACAGUUUCUGAAACCGGACGCCUACAAGCAGUCGGAGCCCCCUUGAGGGGUGACGGCGUACCUUUUGUAUAAUGGGUCAACGACUUGGUCUGUCUAGCAAGCUUAAGCCGGUAGGUGUAGGCGCAGCGAAAGCGAGUCUUAAAUGGGCGACUUAGUUAGACGGAUCAGACCCGAAACCAAGUGAUCUAGGCAUGAGCAGGAUGAAGGUACGGUAACACGUACUGGAGGUCCGAACCCACACCUGUUGAAAAAGGUCGGGAUGACUUGUGCCUAGGGGUGAAAGGCCAAUCAAACUUGGAGAUAGCUGGUUCUCCGCGAAAGCUAUUUAGGUAGCGCCUCGGACGUAUUCCUUGGGGGGUAGAGCACUGCAUGGAUGAUGGGGGCCCACAGCCUUACUGAGUCUAAGCAAACUCCGAAUACCCAAGAGAACUAUCCGGGAGACACACGGCGGGUGCUAACGUCCGUCGUGGAGAGGGAAACAACCCUGACCAACAGCUAAGGCCCCCAAUUCGUGGCUAAGUGGGAAAGCAUGUGAGACUUCCAAAACAACCAGGAGGUUGGCUUAGAAGCAGCCAUCCUUUAAAGAUAGCGUAACAGCUCACUGGUCUAAUCAAGAGGUCUUGCGGCGAAGAUGUAACGGGGCUCAAGCCACGAGCCGAAGCUUUGGAUGCAUCCUUAUGGAUGCGUGGUAGCGGAGCGUUCUGUGAUAUAGAACGCUGCCUCUUUUGUGUUCGACGUCCAUAGUCACCCGCAAGGAUGACGGACAAACAAUGCAACGGAGGCAAUGUUCUGACUGUGAAGCCGGGCCGUGAGGCAACCGGUGGAGUGAUCAGAAGUGAGAAUGUUGACAUGAGUAGCGACAAACAGGGUGAGAGACCCUGUCGCCGAAAGUCCAAGGGUUCCUGCUUAAAGCUAAUCUGAGCAGGGUAAGCCGGCCCCUAAGGCGAGGCCGAAAGGCGUAGUCGAUGGGAACCAGGUUAAUAUUCCUGGGCCAGGAGAUGGUGACGGAUCCCGAGGGUAGUUCGAUCUUAACGGAUUGAUCGGGCUGCUUAGGGGUUCCUGGAAAUAGCCCUCCACAAGACCGUACCCUAAACCGACACAGGUGGACUGGUAGAGAAUACCAAGGCGCUUGAGAGAACCACAUUUAAGGAACUCGGCAAAAUACCUCCGUAAGUUCGCGAGAAGGAGGCCCGGUUUUUACGCAAGUGAAGGCCGGGGGCACAAACCAGGGGGUGGCGACUGUUUACUAAAAACACAGGGCUCUGCGAAGCCGUAAGGCGACGUAUAGGGUCUGACGCCUGCCCGGUGCCGGAAGGUUAAAAGGAGAUGUGCAAGCAUUGAAUUGAAGCCCCGGUAAACGGCGGCCGUAACUAUAACGGUCCUAAGGUAGCGAAAUUCCUUGUCGGGUAAGUUCCGACCUGCACGAAUGGCGUAACGACUUCCCCGCUGUCUCAAAUGUGGACUCAGCGAAAUUGAAUUGUCUGUGAAGAUGCAGACUUCCCGCGGUUAGACGGAAAGACCCCAUGCACCUUUACUACAACUUCGCACUGGCAUCAGGAUUGCGAUGUGCAGGAUAGGCGGUAGGCUUUGAAGCGGGGACGCUAGUCCUCGUGGAGCCAUCCUUGAGAUACCGCCCUUCGCACUCUUGAUGUCUAACCGCGGCCCGUUAUCCGGGUCCGGGACCCUGCGUGGUGGGUAGUUUGACUGGGGCGGUCGCCUCCCAAACAGUAACGGAGGCGCGCGAAGGUUGGCUCAGACCGGUCGGAAAUCGGUCGUUGAGUGCAAUGGCAGAAGCCAGCCUGACUGCAAGACUGACAAGUCGAGCAGAGACGAAAGUCGGCCAUAGUGAUCCGGUGGUCCCGAGUGGAAGGGCCAUCGCUCAACGGAUAAAAGGUACGCUGGGGAUAACAGGCUGAUGAUGCCCAAGAGUCCAUAUCGACGGCAUCGUUUGGCACCUCGAUGUCGGCUCAUCUCAUCCUGGGGCUGGAGCAGGUCCCAAGGGUAUGGCUGUUCGCCAUUUAAAGAGGUACGUGAGCUGGGUUUAGAACGUCGUGAGACAGUUCGGUCCCUAUCUGCCGUGGGUGUUGGAGACUUGAGAGGAGCUGCCCCUAGUACGAGAGGACCGGGGUGGACGGACCACUGGUGGACCUGUUGUCGUGCCAACGGCAGUGCAGGGUAGCUAUGUCCGGACAGGAUAAACGCUGAAGGCAUCUAAGCGUGAAGCCCCCCUCAAAACAAGGUCUCCCUUGAGAGCCGUGGAAGACCACCACGUCGAUAGGCCGGAGAUGUAAGUGCAGCAAUGCAUUCAGUUGACCGGUACUAAUGGCUCGAUAGGCUUGAUUUGAUCCGG